RNAcentral lists this ribosomal RNA (637 nucleotides) under uncultured bacterium. Its description in RNAcentral is "bacterial SSU rRNA". It matches the Rfam family "Bacterial small subunit ribosomal RNA", at positions 607 to 1244 of the family's 1533-position model. The record is from RNAcentral.
GCUUAACCGGAGAAGUGCAUCGGAAACCGGGAGACUUGAGUGCAGAAGAGGACAGUGGGACUCCAUGUGUAGCGGUGAAAUGCGUAGAUAUAUGGAAGAACACCAGUGGCGAAGGCGGCUGUCUGGUCUGCAACUGACGCUGAGGCUCGAAAGCAUGGGUAGCGAACAGGAUUAGAUACCCUGGUAGUCCAUGCCGUAAACGAUGAGUGCUAAGUGUUGGAGGGUUUCCGCCCUUCAGUGCUGCAGCUAACGCAUUAAGCACUCCGCCUGGGGAGUACGACCGCAAGGUUGAAACUCAAAGGAAUUGACGGGGGCCCGCACAAGCGGUGGAGCAUGUGGUUUAAUUCGAUGCUACGCGAAGAACCUUACCAGGUCUUGACAUCUUCUGCCAACCUAAGAGAUUAGGCGUUCCCUUCGGGGACAGAAUGACAGGUGGUGCAUGGUUGUCGUCAGCUCGUGUCGUGAGAUGUUGGGUUAAGUCCCGCAACGAGCGCAACCCUUAUUGUUAGUUGCCAGCAUUUAGUUGGGCACUCUAGCAAGACUGCCGGUGACAAACCGGAGGAAGGUGGGGAUGACGUCAAAUCAUCAUGCCCCUUAUGACCUGGGCUACACACGUGCUACAAUGGACGGUACAACG